Long non-coding RNA from Neomonachus schauinslandi (Hawaiian monk seal), 299 nucleotides. RefSeq lists it as uncharacterized. NCBI's taxonomy places the organism in Eukaryota, Metazoa, Chordata, Mammalia, Carnivora, Phocidae. The transcript is spliced from 4 exons. The record is from RefSeq and is a predicted model, not a curated record.
UCAUACAUUUGGGCUGCUAUCACAAAAUACUACAGACAGGAAGAGAGUGAUGCUCAAAACUCCCGACUUUUCUGGGCACAUGACUUAGCGACAAAGCCCCACCUGAACGCAAGCCUCCUCAUUCCAAGGCCAAAGGCUUUCCCUUGUUCCUCUCUGAGGCUUAACAGACCUUCCGAAGGUUACCCGCAUUCCACAAGGGGGCUGACGUCCCCUCUCAAUGUUGGCAACUGCACUGCAGAAAGAGCUGGAGGAGAGCUAGCGUGAGAAUCGUCUGUACAGCUGAAAAGGAAAACAGCGGU